UGACUCUGUUGUCUUGGAGAGCGUUGAAGCUGACUUAGGUUUUCAGAGUUUUCUUGAUCAUCAACACGAUGACCUGUUCUUAAGGGAACCAAUCUGAUUCUCAAAACAAGAGGAAUUUUGAAUGCCUCUGCAUCCGCUUUGAUAUAAUGAGAUAACUAGGAGGAAAAUCUUUAAACCAAAUUCUUUCGACUUGCUUUUGAACUCGCAA
Molecule: long non-coding RNA, 208 nt
Filed under: Elaeis guineensis (African oil palm)
Lineage: Eukaryota; Viridiplantae; Streptophyta; Magnoliopsida; Arecales; Arecaceae
Description: long non-coding RNA (EGUI_LNC019367)
Source: RNAcentral